AAUUUAGAAGCUUUAUAGCGCUACUCUGAAGAAGUAGAGAAGGUUGUUCCCUAAAUUA
This 58-nucleotide transfer RNA is filed under the name Sinergasilus undulatus. Its description in RNAcentral is "tRNA-Phe". Lineage: Eukaryota; Metazoa; Arthropoda; Copepoda; Poecilostomatoida; Ergasilidae. The record is from RNAcentral.